UGGGGAAUAUUGCACAAUGGGGAAGACCCUGAUGCAGCGACGCCGCGUGAGCGAUGAAGUAUUUCGGUAUGUAAAGCUCUAUCAGCAGGGAAGAAAAUGACGGUACCUGACUAAGAAGCCCCGGCUAACUACGUGCCAGCAGCCGCGGUAAUACGGAGGAUGCGAGCGUUAUCCGGAUUUAUUGGGUUUAAAGGGUGCGUAGGCGGGCUGGUAAGUCAGCGGUAAAAUGCGGUGCUCAACGCCGUAAGUGCCGUUGAAACUGCCGGUCUUGAGUGAGCGAGAAGUAUGCGGAAUGCGUGGUGUAGCGGUGAAAUGCAUAGAUAUCACGCAGAACUCCGAUUGCGAAGGCAGCAUACCGGCGCUCAACUGACGCUGAGGCACGAAAGCGUGGGGAUCGAACAGGAUUAGAUACC
Molecule: ribosomal RNA, 413 nt
Filed under: uncultured bacterium
Lineage: Bacteria
Description: bacterial SSU rRNA
Rfam family: Bacterial small subunit ribosomal RNA
Source: RNAcentral